CCUACGGGAGGCAGCAGUGAGGAAUAUUGGUCAAUGGGCGCGAGCCUGAACCAGCCAAGUAGCGUGAAGGAUGACUGCCCUAUGGAUUGUAAACUUCUUUUAUAAAGGAAUAAAAUGUUCCACGUGUGGGAUUUUGUAUGUACCAUAUGAAUAAGGAUCGGCUAACUCCGUGCCAGCAGCCGCGGUAAUACGGAGGAUCCGAGCGUUAUCCGGAUUUAUUGGGUUUAAAGGGUGCGUAGGCGGAUUGUUAAGUCAGGUGUGAAAUUUUGCGGCUCAACCGUAAAAUUGCAGUUGAAACUGGCAGUCUUGAGUACAGUAGAGGUGGGCGGAAUGCGUGGUGUAGCGGUGAAAUGCUUAGAUAUCACGAAGAACUCCGAUUGCGAAGGCAGCACACUGGACUGCAACUGACACUGAAGCUCGAAAGUGUGGGUAUCGAACAGGAUUAGAUACCCGGGUAGUC
Molecule: ribosomal RNA, 460 nt
Filed under: uncultured bacterium
Lineage: Bacteria
Description: partial 16S ribosomal RNA
Rfam family: Bacterial small subunit ribosomal RNA
Source: RNAcentral